Musa acuminata AAA Group (dessert banana) is the source of this 2409-nucleotide RNA transcript. It is a transcript of the gene named protein CDI-like, with no coding region annotated. Lineage: Eukaryota; Viridiplantae; Streptophyta; Magnoliopsida; Zingiberales; Musaceae. The transcript is spliced from 4 exons. The record is from RefSeq and is a predicted model, not a curated record.
GUGUCCCUCGGUCUUCUUCGUUUCAGCCUCCUCCCACUUGCUACUACUGCUACUCAUUUCCCACACUUGGUUUGGUUUCCUCGUUUACCUCGGCAAGCAUGGGCUCCGAGUUCCCCGACGUGGCCGGAGAGGAGCCCUUCUGUGUGUUCAUCGGUUACGACCCCCGUGAGGACGUGGCCUACCAGGUCUGCCGCCGCUCUCUCCUCCGCCGCUCCUCCGUGCCCCUGUCCGUCCACCCCAUCCGACAGGCUGACCUCCGCGCCGCCGGCCUCUAUUGGCGACCCCGCGGCCCCACCGAGAGCACCGAGUUCUCCUUCACCCGCUUCCUCACCCCCUACCUCGCCGGCCACCGCGGCUGGGCCCUCUUCGUCGACUGCGACUUCCUCUUCCUGCACGACCCCGCCGCUCUCUUCGCCCUCCGUGACCCCAGCUUCGCCGUCAUGUGCGUCCACCACGACUACGCCCCUUCCGAGACCACCAAGAUGGACGGCGCCGUCCAGACCGUUUACCCCCGCAAAAACUGGUCCUCCCUCGUCCUCUAUAACUGCGCCCACCGCAAGAACGUCGCCGCCCUCACCCCCGACGCCGUUAGCACCCAGUCCGGCGCCUUCCUCCACCGCUUCAUGUGGCUCGACGAUGCCGAGAUCGGCGAGAUCCCCUUCGUAUGGAACUUCCUCGUCGGGCACAACAAGGUCGACCCCGCCGAUCCCGACAACACCGCGCCCAAGGCCAUCCACUACACCUCCGGCGGGCCUUGGUUCGAGCGCUACAAGGACUGCGAGUUCGCCGACCUCUGGAUCAACGAGUUGGAGGAAUCGAACGCCGAGAAGGCUGCCGAGGAUGAGAAGAAGAAAGGUUCCGCAAAGAAUAAUUAGAUGGAAAGGGAGAUGCUCCCAGAUCUGGUGGAAGGUAGUAGCAUUCAGGACAACGGUGUCGAUGUGGCGACGUCUCUCGGCGGAGCCUGCUCAAAUUCGGUGCUCUAUUACUGCCCAAAUCAACUUGAAGUUCCUUUCAUCUCACGCCGCGCAGGUGUUUGUGAAAAGACUACGCAAGAUCAAAGGUCUCAAGAUUCAACUAUUCUCCCAUCAGAGGCAAAACAACAGAGUGAGGACUUCAUCCCCCAGCAAGUCAUCAAUAGAACCAAUUGUUCAUGACUUAUAUGUGAUAGAAGAUAUGCUCAAAUUAUGAAAAAAAACAAAUCAAGAAAAGUAUUAAUAAAUAAAAAAAUUUAUGUGGUUCCAUAGACUUUGCUUACGUUAAGUGAUAGUAAACUAUAUUAUUCAUUGUGUGAGAAUAAUCACAGUAAUAGAUAAAUUCUCUCUUGACUUAGAAGUCCUUGGUUUAAACUCAGUAGCAAGACAGUUUAAAACUCAUUAGAAGUCUUUCGAAGUGCAUCUUUAUACAAUAUUCGAUCCUUAAUUUCCAAAAAAAAUCUUUUUUUAAGCAAAAGACUUAAAACAUGAAAUCUUCUUUAUUGAUCAAGCAAAGGCCAAGAGUAAAUACUUCAACUCCUCGCAAACCUAUAAAAUUAAACAAACACAAGAACAAGUCCAAGUCAGCUAGGGAGAUUAUAAUCCUCCUUCGGCUAAAUGAUGGACACCCAAGAACAAAAAACUUGAUCUUUUUCUUUUGCCAAAUAGACCACAGAUCAGCAGUCUAACAUUGGAAAAAGGGACAUGAGGGGCAUCACCAUUUCCAUGUUCCAGUGAGCAGAUUAUGAGAAACAUUAUAUUCCAUGCAGCUGAGAUUAUUAUCUGGAGAGGAUUCUUCCACGUUUCCUGUCCUCCUGGUUAGUCCACCAACCACUUCACAGGUGACACCUACCACCCUCAGUUUCAUUAUUUUCUUCAGUGGGCUACAAGUAUACAUAUCAAUGUUUUAUUCCUUCAUGAACUUUCCUUCUCUGUUCCAAGCACCUUCUGUGGAUAAAGUGAAAGCUUAAGAUGUCAUCAGAUACGCAACAAGGUUGCUUUGUAGACCAAAUUAAGGACAAAUCUUGCAUGUGAAAGAUCACAUGCAAGGUUAAAAAAUUAAACGGUCCAAUGCAUCCCCAGCACAUGUAAAGUGGCACUUGAUCUUUUGGCAGGUGGUGCAGUUUCAACAAGCAGUGCUUUGAAGCCCAUGCAUGAAGGAUUUGAUGAACAAGGAGACCUACCAACAUAAUGACAUUAUCAGCUGGAAAAACCCUGUUGGUGCAAGAAGAAAGUCGGUAGUCUACAUCACGUCAUGAAGGAGAGCCACCAGACAUUGGGGCCAUCCAUGUAUCUACCCUCACAAAACUGUGAGUGAUUCCUCAUCGGUAAAAAGUAUGUGCCAUCCAUAUUUUUAGACUUUGAACCAAGAAACAACAAAACAUAGUAUAUGUUUUCACCCAGAAAAUGAGAACUUUAGACUCCUUUGUUGUCCUCA